This 277-nucleotide ribosomal RNA is filed under the name uncultured bacterium. RNAcentral describes it as "partial 16S ribosomal RNA". It matches the Rfam family "Bacterial small subunit ribosomal RNA", at positions 29 to 334 of the family's 1533-position model. The record is from RNAcentral.
AACGAACGCUGGCGGCAUGCCUAACACAUGCAAGUCGAACGAGACCUUCGGGUCUAGUGGCGCACGGGUGCGUAACGCGUGGGAAUCUGCCCUUGGGUUCGGAAUAACUCGCCGAAAGGCGUGCUAAUACCGGAUGAUGUCGUAAGACCAAAGAUUUGUCGCCCAGGGAUGAGCCCGCGUAAGAUUAGGUAGUUGGUGAGGUAAAGGCUCACCAAGCCGACGAUCUUUAGCUGGUCUGAGAGGAUGAUCAGCCACACUGGACUGAGACACGGCCCAA